UCAUCUCCUCCAACAUGACUCUAAACAUCGUCAUGUUCGCCAGACGGUUGGCCUCCAACACGUCCUCAGUGGCCUUCUUGUUCGCCUCUCUGACGGCGUCCAGCAUGGCCUGGUUUGCCAUUCUCAUGGCCUCCUGGUCGGCUAGUCGGGCCGCCUGCAUCUCAGCUAAUGCAGCCAGGACAGGAUCGGGCCGAUCCUCUGAAGUCUCGCGGUUUCUCCCGGGUCUUACCAUGACUCUGCACAGGUUACACAAAUUAUGAGUUGAUCAGGCCCACGCAAUGUGGUCACAUAUGCAUUAUCAUAAUAAUACUCGACGGAGCAAACACACAAAACAGACACAACCAAACAUCCUAAUCAUUGCAAUACAUACAGGAUUUUCCCUUGAACCGUUGCUCUAAUACCAUAAAAUGUAACACCCCAUGUAUACCCGGAAUAUUAACAUUACAUCGUAUUAAGCGGUGCUUAAUUAAAAAUGCGGAAUAUUCUUUUUCUUUUCAAUUAUGACGUCAUUAUCAAUUACCAACUUGAUUACUUAAUCAAUUUCAUAAAAUAUCGCCUGUAUGUAAAUUGCAAUAAGACAUCUACUGAAAUACCUCAAUAUAUAGAUAAAGUGUGUAUCUAAAUCACGGCAUUACAUCAAGUAAUCCAGACAAUAUCCUGAUACAUUAUUACAACUUCAAAAGACUCAAGACCUAAUCAAGACAUAACAAUACUAUGUGUCAUGGACAAUCCCCAUGCUCACCAAAUAAACAUAGUCAACAACCAGUCUCAACAUAAAACUCCAUAAACAUAAACCGAAGCUAUAAGCAUAAGCAGCAUGCAUAUCCAGCAUCCAAUCAUAGCAGCAUAAAAUAACAGCAAUCUAACUCAGCUCCGGCCUCCUGCCGCCUGAGGUCUCAACGUUACCUGACCCUGAAAUAAGCAUUCCCCAAACGUGGGGUGAGAUCUUUAAACUAGAAAUCUCAGUAAGACAAUGGGUCCUCAAGGAUCUUCCACCCCAAGCUCACUUGCAUGUGCAAUAUAAGUUCAAAAAGCAUUUAUAUCAUUAUCAGUUUCAAAACUAUGUAGUGCAACAGAUAUCUAUGGCAUGUGUGUAAUCACUAUCUACUGGCCAGAGAAAUGUAGGAAUACGUCUAUUCCCUACAUCUAGUACAAGGAACACCGCUUGCACCUCACCCACAGCCUCACCCUCUUGUAUGUUCUACAUACUCAGGCUUACCGUAUAGGUGAAACACCUCCAUGCAUAUCAACAAGGCACUAACAUAUAAUAGCUCAACAGCAUUUCUAAAACAUCAAAAGCAUGUAACACAGCAUGCAUAUACCAUAUCCCCAUGGGACAUGGUGGAACCACAACAUGGCUAAACCGAGGACACGAAAGCUUACCUCUAAACUAGCUAUCCAAUGCCACAAGCUCAAAGUCCAAUCACAGCAGAUCACAAUCUGAUAUGGACCAAAUAUAAAUCAAUAACAUGUACCACAUGCAUACAAAUUAAAGACAACGCCUUUUCAUUAUGUUUUCAAGUCUUAAAGCUUCUAACAAAGCCACAAGCCCUUAAUCCCAUGAUUCUGGCUUAGUCCAUUAAAUACAGAAGUUCAACUUCAUCAAACUAGGGUCCACAAACCCCCAAUAGCCUACUGUACACACAGCACAACUACUGUUCUGCGAAAUCCCAGAAUAUUCGGAUAUUCCUCGGGACCAUAUCCGGAUAUGCAAUAUCUGGAUAUCUUACUGUCCAUAUAUCCGGAUAUACAGAUUCACAUUUCUGGAUAUCCAAUAUCCGGAUAUCCCAAAACCACAUAUCCGGAUAUCCAAUAUCCGGAUAUCUGUUCGACGAAUAUCCGGAUAUUUCACGACAGAAUGCAUUUUUUGCAUUUUCGUGAAGAUAUCCCUUAAAGGUUCCCUUUUUACCGAUUUUAAACACCUAAUCAUGCAUUUCUAGGCGUGUUCAACAUUACCCAACAACAAGUUAUCAUCUUUUAACCUUAACAUGCAUCAAGCUUCCAUUUUUAAGCCUUAAAACUCAAGUUAAAGGUUGGUACAACAUACCAAGGCUGAAAACUCAGAAUGGAGGUGCUCUUGGAGCUCAACACAGCCCCUCAAGUCUGACUCAAGGAAGAUGCACGAAAAAGAACAAGAAGGUAGGUCUUUCACUCAACAAGAAGGCAUCUUGGAGCAUCAAAAUGCCAACAAAAGGUCAUACCCCUCAAGAACAGCAAACACAGCUCUUCAAACUCCCUCACACAGGUUCUCUAACUCAGAAACAGCACCCUAAUGCAGUCCCAAGACCAACCUUCACCCUCACCAAGUGUUUAAAUGGAAGAACAAGCCUCAAAGGUAAAAGCAAUCUUAUCUUAUUGCCCCACAUGAAUCACAUUUUCAAAUAGUAUACAAUAUUCUGAAGGAACAUAUCUUGCAAGCACCUGAUUAUCAGAAGUUAAUACUGAACUAAAUAGAGGCAUGGUGGCUCAUGAUAAUCCUCAAGAUUAGAAUCUGAUCAGAAAGAAAAUGGCAACAGGAUUGUCAUGAAUGGAUUUAGCAAAAUGGUAACUGAAGGUGAUCUUUUACAGCCUGAACGAAAGCAUUGUUGACAGUUAGCCCCAAAGGUGAUGUAUUAAAGCAUGAAAUCCUUGAUGACUAUGUGAAAGCUAAUGGCGACUAUGUGAAAGCAUUCCAAGUUUGAGUCACUUAUAUGUUGUUCUCAUGUAUCAAUUUGCAAGACUACACGACUACACUACUUACAUAUGAGGCAUACAAUGAGGAUCAAGUCAAUGACGAAGAUUGCAAUGCCCCUUUACAUAAGCAUAGUCGAUAGGAAUUUAUUUUUAUUUUUUUAUACACUUUGUGAACAAUAUUUUUUGUUGGUACUUCUA
Gastrolobium bilobum is the source of this 2871-nucleotide long non-coding RNA. RefSeq lists it as uncharacterized. Lineage: Eukaryota; Viridiplantae; Streptophyta; Magnoliopsida; Fabales; Fabaceae. The record is from RefSeq and is a predicted model, not a curated record. The transcript has 4 exons.